RNAcentral lists this ribosomal RNA (261 nucleotides) under uncultured bacterium. RNAcentral describes it as "partial 16S ribosomal RNA". It matches the Rfam family "Bacterial small subunit ribosomal RNA", at positions 524 to 784 of the family's 1533-position model. The record is from RNAcentral.
UACGAAGGGGGCUAGCGUUGUUCGGAAUUACUGGGCGUAAAGCGCACGUAGGCGGACAUUUAAGUCAGGGGUGAAAUCCCAGGGCUCAACCCUGGAACUGCCUUUGAUACUGGGUGUCUUGAGUACGAGAGAGGUGAGUGGAAUUCCGAGUGUAGAGGUGAAAUUCGUAGAUAUUCGGAAGAACACCAGUGGCGAAGGCGGCUCACUGGCUCGUAACUGACGCUGAGGUGCGAAAGCGUGGGGAGCAAACAGGAUUAGAUA